UACGUAGGGCGCAAGCGUUGUCCGGAAUUAUUGGGCGUAAAGAGCUCGUAGGCGGUCUGUCGCGUCUGCUGUGAAAACCCGAGGCUCAACCUCGGGCCUGCAGUGGGUACGGGCAGACUAGAGUGCGGUAGGGGAGAUUGGAAUUCCUGGUGUAGCGGUGGAAUGCGCAGAUAUCAGGAGGAACACCAAUGGCGAAGGCAGAUCUCUGGGCCGUAACUGACGCUGAGGAGCGAAAGCAUGGGGAGCGAACAGG
This 253-nucleotide ribosomal RNA is filed under the name uncultured bacterium. RNAcentral's name for it is "partial 16S ribosomal RNA". It matches the Rfam family "Bacterial small subunit ribosomal RNA", at positions 524 to 776 of the family's 1533-position model. The record is from RNAcentral.